UCUCCGUUGGUGAACCAGCGGAGGGAUCAUUACCGAGUUUACAACUCCCAAACCCCUGUGAACAUACCUGAACGUUGCUUCGGCGGACCGCCCCGGCGCCCGAGAGGGCGGCCCGGAGCCAGGCGGCCGCCGGGGGACCCAAACUCUUCUGUCUCCGCCGCGGCGGAUCGUCUCCCUCUGAGUGAAGCAAGAAAAAUGAAUCAAAACUUUCAACAACGGAUCUCUUGGUUCUGGCAUCGAUGAAGAAUGCAGC
This 253-nucleotide unclassified non-coding RNA is filed under the name plant metagenome. RNAcentral describes it as "partial contains small subunit ribosomal RNA, internal transcribed spacer 1, and 5.8S ribosomal RNA". The stretch from base 205 to 253 matches the Rfam family "5.8S ribosomal RNA", at positions 1 to 49 of the family's 154-position model. The record is from RNAcentral.